AGAUUGAACGCUGGCGGCAUGCCUAACACAUGCAAGUCGAACGGGAGUAGCAAUACUCUAGUGGCGGACGGGUGAGGAAUACGUAGGAAUUUGCCCUUAAGUGGGGGAUAACCCGGGGAAACCCGGAUUAAUACCGCAUGACCUACGAAAGAGCAAAGUGGGGGAUCGCAAGACCUCACGCUUUGGAGAAGCCUACGUCGGAUUAGCUAGUUGUGAGGUAAUGGCUCACCAAGGCGACGAUCCGUAACUGGUCUGGAGAGGAUAGAUUCAGUCCACGACCGGAACUAGAGACCGACGGUCCGGACGUACCGUACGGGA
Molecule: ribosomal RNA, 318 nt
Filed under: uncultured soil bacterium
Lineage: Bacteria
Description: bacterial SSU rRNA
Rfam family: Bacterial small subunit ribosomal RNA
Source: RNAcentral